Molecule: long non-coding RNA, 2728 nt
Organism: Carcharodon carcharias (great white shark)
Lineage: Eukaryota; Metazoa; Chordata; Chondrichthyes; Lamniformes; Lamnidae
Exons: 2
Source: RefSeq, a predicted model, not a curated record
CAGCAUCGGCGGAGAAGAAAAGAGUUGACGUUUCGAGUCCUCGUGACCCUUCGACAGAAUUACAGGCUUUGAUCCCUGUUCCAGACAAGGUAGACUCAGGAUCUGCCUCCUCGCCCUACCCAUUGUUUAAAAAAAAACCACAGUACCCAGCCAUGGUUUGGCAGAUAAUUCUCAAGAAGCUGCCUUCACGCAGAGAACCAGAGAAGAAGGAAAAUAAAAAAGAUUGUUUGCAAUUUGAAAAAUAACUGCACCAGGGCUGCUAAAUUCAGCUGUGUGGUGAGACCGGCUUUGCAUCAUGGGAGAAGAAAAAAAAAUGGCAGAGGAUCUGCUUCUGACAGGAACUGAACGCCGGUGGCAUGGGUGUCACCUACGUGCCCCAAAACAUCAUGUUGCUCAGCGCCAAACAUUAAUUUGGUGCACAUCCUGCCAUUUUGGAUCCCAGAGGUCCUGUGAGCAUCCUCUCUUGAAGAGCCUCGGCAACAUGUGUCCAGCUGCAAGAGGGACACCUUCGCUCGGGCUAUUUUAAAGGGAUCACCAUUCCACUUUCAGUCAAGACCAGUGAAUGAGUCCUGGACUUCGUUUAAAGGCACCGUGAAACAGCAGCCAUCUACUUAAAUACAACAGUAGAAAAUCGUGGGAUGUCUGGCUUUCAUCAGAGAGAUACAAAUGCCAGAAGCAGAAGCAAAAAUACUUUGUUUGUAAAAAUGUCUUCAACUUGUUAAUAUCAUUGUAAUUGUUAUAACAUAUCUAUUUCCAGUGUGAGAGGUCCUUUUCCGCAUUAAGAGCUAUGUCAUUUCUGUUGCAUUAAGGGCUUUUUCAAAAGGGUCAGGUGUGUCGGCCAUCAAGCACAGGCUCUACAAUCUGUGAAACUUUUGAUCUGACAUAAAUUUUAAGAGGUCACAUUGGUUGAUUGCAGGCACAAUUGAUGACAAGCACCAUAUUAUGCAAUUUCCAAAACCCAUUUGUAUCUGCAAAGUACAGCUCAGCUUAAAUUGUUUGCCUGCUAGCACCAUAGGGUCUGUACAUUUGCCAAUUAUUAUGUUUAAUGAAUUGCAAAAACAUGUCUGUGGUUAAGUCUUCAAAGUGGUUCAAUCAUCCAAAGGCACAACAUGAUUUCUUUAUAAGCAACUGAUUCAUUGAUAAAUAUUCAUGACUACUGUUGUAGGGAUUAUUAAUCAAAUAGCAAUUGUACCCACAAUUAUAACUGUAAAAAUGACAAAUGGUUAUAAUUGCACUUACUUCCAACAUACAUGCUGAGUACUAAAUAAUACCAGGUGAAUGCAAUAUGAAUGUAAUUUUACAACAUCUUACCCAGUGCAACUAGAUCAGAAAUUAAAUUAAAAAAAGCCUCCAGUUAUACAGGUUGUUUGAUUAUCUGUCCAUCUGCUCUAGAAUUUUUUAAACCAAAAGAGCAGGUCAAUUGAUCCAAAUAAAAUGGAAACUAUAGCGAGAUAACACUACAACAUGCAAAACAACCAAAGAUCUACUUGUGUUGCACAAUGAAUUCUUUGUAACUUUUAAUGAUAAGUUAACUUCCUUUAUCAGUGCUCAGCUUGCAUGUACUUGUGUAUCAGUACAGAACACAGAUGUGUAGCUCCAGAUGAAUGAGAAGCUGAGUGGCCUGGGACCAAAUGAUGUAGAUAAUUAAACGAGGCCGUGCUUCAGUCCCUAGCUUUUGUUCAGAUGAUCUCACCUUUUCUCGUAGUGCGGGAUCUUAAAUUGACUUCAACACACCAGGCCGGAAAAGUGGAGGAAUCAGCCAAGCUCUGUUUCUGAUUCAGAUUACAGCCGGACAGGACAUGGACAAGGACUAUGCCAAUGUUUCCUAAUGGGGAGAUAGCAUGCUAAUAUUCACUGUCACAGCCCACAAGAAGGGCUUCUUAGGAAAGAGAGUGAAUACCUUCCACCGUCCAUAAAGCCAAAGUACAAUCAGAGUCAAUGGGGAAAGAUUUUGCCUUCACGAAAUUUAGCUGUAAUUUGGUGAGCAGAUCCCCUGUCCAUUGAUUUAUAUAGAACAAAAAAACUGUGGUUUUCCAACAGGUCGAAGCUCCCUCCGCUCUAACAGGUUAAUGCCCCGGGGUCAAAGUUAAAAAUGAUUCCCAGUGUUUUCAUGAGAUGACAUGAGAAAAUAGUGCCAAAGUGCACGCAGUCAGGUUUAUGUUCAACUCAGUUCAGACAAGCAUUCUUGCAACUUUUUCUUCUACUUAUUACACUUGGGUAUCUUGCAGUUAAUUAUCAGUUGCCUGAUUUCACUGGUUUGACAGCAUAAAACCAAUUCUCCUCACUGAAACUCUACAGAUGAAAAGAAACUCCGUUCAUGACAGAGACCAAGAAUGUUGAGCACAAACACAGGGCAGACUGGGGGGAAAAUAAAAAUUAAUUGAAUAGACAUACAUGGUCAGCCUUAGAAACCCAGGUUAUAUUAAACCUAAAUGUUACAGAUCAAGUUGAGAGAAUCUCAAUCAAUUUGGGAGUAUUUCAGUAUUGGCUAGUGUAUUUGUCUGCAGGUGAAGAGAAAGCCAUAAAGCCAAUGGUGUGUUGCAAGUGCUAAGGAAUUUGGUUGUUACAAUUAGACAUCUCUGUGGGAAACCCGAGCCCCAUUGUGUUUUGGCUUGUAAUGUGCAAUGAACUGUUUUGUAUCAUUUGUGACACAUACCAUGUCUUUGUUGAAGAAAGCUGUAAAAAAUAAUAAACAACAUGAAAUCCUUGGAGUAGGAUGUCAAUUCAA